GACGAACGCUGGCGGCGUGCUUAACACGUGCAAGUCGAACGGAAAGGCCCUGCUUUUGUGGGGUGCUCGAGUGGCGAACGGGUGAGUAACACGUGAGUAACCUGCCCUUGACUUUGGGAUAACUUCAGGAAACUGGGGCUAAUACCGGAUAGGAGCUCCUGCUGCAUGGUGGGGGUUGGAAAGUUUCGGCGGUUGGGGAUGGACUCGCGGCUUAUCAGCUUGUUGGUGGGGUAGUGGCUUACCAAGGCUUUGACGGGUAGCCGGCCUGAGAGGGUGACCGGCCACAUUGGGACUGAGGUACGGCCCAGACUCCUACGGGAGGCAGCAGUGGGGAAUAUUGCACAAUGGGCGGAAGCCUGAUGCAGCAACGCCGCGUGCGGGAUGACGGCCUUCGGGUUGUAAACCGCUUUCGCCUGUGACGAAGCGUGAGUGACGGUAAUGGGUAAAGAAGCACCGGCUAACUACGUG
This 468-nucleotide ribosomal RNA is filed under the name uncultured bacterium. RNAcentral describes it as "partial 16S ribosomal RNA". It matches the Rfam family "Bacterial small subunit ribosomal RNA", at positions 28 to 507 of the family's 1533-position model. The record is from RNAcentral.